UCCUUCGGGAAGUANNCGAGCGGCGAACGGGUGAGUAACACGUGGAUAAUCAACCUCUUGCUCUGGAAUACCCCGGGGAAACUCGGAUCAAUGCCAGAUAAAGUGCGGUGCUGUCGGGCGCCGUACCAAAGAUAGCUUCGGCCUUCGGCGAGAGACGAGUCCGCGGCCCAUUAGCUAGUUGGCGGGGUAAAGGCCCACCAAGGCUACGAUGGGUAGCUGGUCUGAGAGGAUGAUCAGCCACACUGGGACUGAGACACGGCCCAGACUCCUACGGGAGGCAGCAGUGGGGAAUCUUGCGCAAUGGGCGAAAGCCUGACGCAGCAACGCCGCGCGCGGGAGGAAGGCCUUCGGGUUGUAAACCGCUUUCAGGGGAGACGAAGCUUCCAGGGUUAAUAGCCCUGUGGAGUGACGGUAUCUUCAGAAGAAGUCCCGGCUAACUACGUGCCAGCAGCCGCGGUGAUACGUAGGGGACAAGCGUUGUCCGGAAUUAUUGGGCGUAAAGCGCGUGUAGGCGGCCAAGUAAGUCUUACGUGAAAUCCUGAGGCUCAACCUCAGGCCUGCGCGGGAAUACU
RNAcentral lists this ribosomal RNA (572 nucleotides) under uncultured soil bacterium. Its description in RNAcentral is "bacterial SSU rRNA". It matches the Rfam family "Bacterial small subunit ribosomal RNA", at positions 76 to 634 of the family's 1533-position model. The record is from RNAcentral.